Molecule: unclassified non-coding RNA, 123 nt
Filed under: Xanthomonas phaseoli pv. phaseoli
Lineage: Bacteria; Pseudomonadati; Pseudomonadota; Gammaproteobacteria; Lysobacterales; Lysobacteraceae
Description: RtT
Source: RNAcentral
UUCGCCGGCGGCAUUGGGGGGAUGAGAAGCCCCGGGUUCGACAGGCAGCGCAGCUGCCUGCACGGCGAAGCCGCCCGCAGGGCGAAGGCACGUAGUGCCGAGUGAAUCCCCCCUCUGUCGCCA